Molecule: small nuclear RNA, 18 nt
Filed under: Arabidopsis thaliana (thale cress)
Lineage: Eukaryota; Viridiplantae; Streptophyta; Magnoliopsida; Brassicales; Brassicaceae
Description: snRNA_09843
Source: RNAcentral
CUUCGAAAGGGGAUCCGG